AUUGAACGCUGGCGGCAGGCCUAACACAUGCAAGUCGAGCGGUAGAGAGAAGCUUGCUUCUCUUGAGAGCGGCGGACGGGUGAGUAAUGCCUAGGAAUCUGCCUGGUAGUGGGGGAUAACGCUCGGAAACGGACGCUAAUACCGCAUACGUCCUACGGGAGAAAGCAGGGGACCUUCGGGCCUUGCGCUAUCAGAUGAGCCUAGGUCGGAUUAGCUAGUUGGUGAGGUAAUGGCUCACCAAGGCGACGAUCCGUAACUGGUCUGAGAGGAUGGGCAGUCACACUGGAACUGAGACACGGUCCAGUACCCAACGGGAGGCAGCAGUGGGGAAUAUUGGACAAUGGGCGAAAGCCUGAUCCAGCCAUGCCGCGUGUGUGAAGAAGG
Molecule: ribosomal RNA, 384 nt
Filed under: Pseudomonas sp.
Lineage: Bacteria; Pseudomonadati; Pseudomonadota; Gammaproteobacteria; Pseudomonadales; Pseudomonadaceae
Description: bacterial SSU rRNA
Rfam family: Bacterial small subunit ribosomal RNA
Source: RNAcentral